This 1477-nucleotide ribosomal RNA is filed under the name Istigobius sp. NMBE 1066483. RNAcentral describes it as "partial 16S ribosomal RNA". It matches the Rfam family "Bacterial large subunit ribosomal RNA", at positions 274 to 2574 of the family's 2925-position model. The record is from RNAcentral. Lineage: Eukaryota; Metazoa; Chordata; Actinopteri; Gobiiformes; Gobiidae.
ACCCCAACAGCUAGCCCACCUUAAAAAUUCAACAAACAACAUUAAUUAACCCAACACUUGCUUAACCCAAAAAUUAAACCAUUCUUCCACCCUAGUACGGGAGACAGAAAAGGACACAUAGGCGCCAUAGAGAAAGUACCGCAAGGGAAAGCUGAAAGAGAACUGAAACAACCCAGUGAAGGGCACAGAAGCAGAGACUUGCACUCGUACCUUUUGCAUCAUGAUUUAACGAGCAUCUUCAAGCAAAGAGACCUUUACGUUUGAGCCCCCGAAACUAAGCGAGCUACUCCAAGACAGCCUAUUAUAGGGCGAACCCGUCUCUGUGGCAAAAGAGUGGGAAGAGCUUCGAGUAGAGGUGAUAGACCUACCGAGAUUAGUGAUAGCUGGUUGCCUGAGAAUUGAAUAGAAGUUCAGCCUUUUGAAUUCUUUAACCCAAAAUGGUCACUCACCCGCCCCAGGUCAAAAGAUAAUCAGAAGAGUUAUUCACUGGAGGGACAGCCCCAUUGAAACAAGACACAACUUUUAGAGAAGGUAAAAGAUCAAAAGAUAUAAAGGAAUAAUACCCAAGUGGGCCUAAAAGCAGCCACCCCUUAAGAAAGCGUUAAAGCUUAAGUAUGCAAACCCUAUAAUACCGACUACAACAUCUUAUACCCCCCCAACCUAUCAGGCCCGCCCAUGCAUCCAUGGACAAGACAAUGUUAAAAUGAGUAAUAAGAGAGCCCAGACCCUCUCACGAGCAUCCGUGUAUAUCAUAACGAACCCCCGAUGAAAAUUAACGCUCCCAACCCCAGAGGGCAAUGAACCACCCACACAAAACAAGAAAACCUCUCACCUCUCUCAGCGUUAACCCCACACAGGAGUGCCCCAUGAAAGACAAAAAGAGAAAGAAGGAACUCGGCAAACACUGGCCUCGCCUGUUUACCAAAAACAUCGCCUCUUGCCCCCCACAGUAUAAGAGGUCCCGCCUGCCCUGUGACCCAAAGUUUAACGGCCGCGGUAUUUUGACCGUGCGAAGGUAGCGUAAUCACUUGUCUUUUAAAUGAAGACCUGUAUGAAUGGCAUAACGAGGGCUAAGCUGUCUCCUUUCUCCAGUCAAUGAAAUUGAUCUGCCCGUGCAGAAGCGGGCAUACACACAUAAGACGAGAAGACCCUAUGGAGCUUAAGACACCAGGAUAGCCCACGUUAAACAACCCUCCCCAAUGGAAUAAACCAAAUGGCCCCUAUUCCCCUGUCUUUGGUUGGGGCGACCGCGGGGGAACAAAGAUCCCCCACGUGGAACAGGCCAAGCCUUAAAGCCAGAGCCACGGCUCUAACAAACAGAAACUCUGACCACCAAGAUCCGGCAAAGCCGAUCAACGGACCCAGUUACCCUAGGGAUAACAGCGCAAUCCCCUUCUAGAGCCCAUAUCGACAAGGGGGUUUACGACCUCGAUGUUGGAUCAGGACCUCCUAAUGGUGCAGCCGCUAUUAAGGGUUC